AUAAAGAUGCUUAAACUAUACCUCUGGGGUUUGGGUAGGGUCUAGAAUCAUAAAUAUUAGUUAUAUAAUACGUUUAACUUAGUUCUCACAUUUAAAAAGUAGUUUAUGUACUUUUCCAACACAAUUCUAAUCGAUGUUCAACAAAAUAUGUUAAAAAAUGUUGAACUCAAAUUAUAUAUGUGUUGAACGCAUAAAGUUUGUAAGUUUGUAAGUUUGUACCAGAACC
This 226-nucleotide long non-coding RNA is filed under the name Daucus carota (carrot). RNAcentral's name for it is "long non-coding RNA (DCAR_LNC003496)". Lineage: Eukaryota; Viridiplantae; Streptophyta; Magnoliopsida; Apiales; Apiaceae. The record is from RNAcentral.